CGGACAUUCUCAUAUUUAACAAAAGCCAUUGCACACUCAAAAUACUUAGAAAGAAUUAAAGAAGCAAAUACAAAAAAAUUAACUGAACAUAUGAAAUACAAUAUAAAUAGCUUUUAUAGUGUGCAACAAGUGAGAAUACUAAAUUAUGCUGUAACAUUCCACUGUUAAGUUUAACAUGAGAAACACUAGAUAUUAUGAACUGUACUAUGGAAAUGAAGAGCAUUGCAAGCCUAUUAAAACGUCACAUAACUAUGUCAAUUAACGUUAUUACACCUGCGAAAUAGAUUUAAUAUUUACAGAUUUAUCCGAGGAGGAAUAAUGGGGGUAGUUACAUUACAAUUUUAUGAAAAAUAGGCUCUUUCAUAAAAUUAUCGGACGAUGUUAACAGAGACCGUCAGAAACAGAAAAUGAUGUAAAUGGAAAAGGUCAACAGAACAGAUCAACAGAAAGGACACAGAAACAACAGCGCCUCCGCAGGCCAAAGGGGUGAAUUGUCACAAAACUUGUCAACCUCCUUGUCAUCACCAGAGGCAUGCAGCAAGUUUUUGAUCUGGGCUUUUACCUCAGUCUAUUUUAAAAUCAACUUUUGUUGGCACCACCUGAAAUGCCAGUAGAAUUAGACGCUUUGAAUGACAAAUUAAACACAGAAAGUAUGUUAGAUGUUUUUUUUUUAUCAGCAGCAGCUUUAUCUUGCACUCUGAGCAAUAAGUAACAGACAGAUGGUGCAUAAGUUGUAAAUUGAGAUUCUAAAUUAUGAAAAUACAAUAUCUUACACUAGUGUGUCUGGAUUAGUGGUUGAUGGAGAAAAGGAAGAGUCACUGGAUUAUGACAAAGUAAAAAUGUAGUUGUUUUCAUAAAAGUUAUUAUUCACAUGUUUGGACUGCACAAGCAGGGGCUGCUUCUGCUUUCACUCACGGAGACUGAAAUGCCAAUAUCAUGUCAGUGCAGCAGAAAUAGGUCAAGCCCGACACGCAGAUACGCACUCACAAGCACACAGAUAGAUGAAUUACUCAUUCUCUUUCAUGGCCUUUGUAGAUGGAGGAAGCGGAUGCCGAUGCAAAAAGAUCAAAACCCCUGUGCGCAAGAAACAAGUGUCCUCCCCCCAGCAGCCGAGUGGGAGGGAGGAAGAGUCGCUCAACAGGGGACACAGCGAGGCUGCGGCACUUUGACGUGGGACAGAGCUGUAGACGGGGAGGCUCAGCUGGAAGAGUCCAAGGUUCCCACAGGGGCCUGGAGUGGAGUGAGGCAGAGGACAUGGAGGAAUGACAAGCAGCAGCUGGACAUAGAGGAGCACACACAAUGGACCUCAGUCAACUGUGAGAUAUGUCUGUGA
This 1333-nucleotide long non-coding RNA is filed under the name Betta splendens (Siamese fighting fish). Its description in RNAcentral is "lncRNA (ENSBSLG00000017299.1)". Lineage: Eukaryota; Metazoa; Chordata; Actinopteri; Anabantiformes; Osphronemidae. The record is from RNAcentral.